This 3308-nucleotide ribosomal RNA is filed under the name Pseudopygmephorellus mazandaranicus. RNAcentral describes it as "eukaryotic LSU rRNA". It matches the Rfam family "Eukaryotic large subunit ribosomal RNA", at positions 42 to 2876 of the family's 3401-position model. The record is from RNAcentral. Lineage: Eukaryota; Metazoa; Arthropoda; Arachnida; Trombidiformes; Pygmephoridae.
AUCACUAAGCGGUGGAAAAGAAAACAAAAGUGAUACCCCUAGUAACGGCGAGCGAACAGGGUUAAGCCCAACGCAAAGGCGCAUCGUGCUUCGGCGCGGUGAGCGAUGCUGCGUCUGGGUUCGAUGCUUGAGCUCAGACUCGUGUGCUGGCAUGUGUACAAACGAAUUACCUAGUAGUUGGCCGUAGCGGGUUGAAGCCCCGUGUGUACACUGUAUUCAAGACCACACGCGACAGUGCGAAGGCUCGAACCUGAGAGUAGGAUUGUUCGAGAGUGCAAUCUGAAGUAGGAGGUAUGCAUCUCCUAAGGCUAAAUAUGACUGUGAGACCGAUAGCGAACAAGUAGCGUAAGCGAAAGUUGAAAAGAACUUUGAAGAGAGAGUUCAAAGAGCGUGAAACCACUAGUAGGGAAGCGGGUGUUACCUCGAGUAGGCGAUGCGAGUCUGUGGUGAUCCGUGAUUGGCGUUACGUGCGCGUUGAGUUUAGCGUUGGCCUCGGCCUGGCGAAACCUCGGCGUGUGCGGCGACUGCCGGUGCGAUCGCUGUAAAGCAGACUCGUUGCCAGUAUCCUGCACUCUUUCCAGGCUUGGUAGUGGACGCGAACGCUUGCGCAGCACCUUCGGGGAGGCUGUGCAAGUUUGCGUUUCGACUGUCUUGUAACCGGUUCGCAAUGUGCUUUCCACCUCGCGCUGGAAGUUGAUUGUCGAAUCGGCUCAAGUUCCUACCGUUAGCGAAGCGAAGAGUUACACUUGCAGGAUAUGAGUAGAUCGGUAAGCACCUGCCCCGUCUUGAAACACGGACCAAGGAGCCUAGCGUGUACGCAAGUCAUUCAGUGAUACACAAAACUAGACUGGCGCAACGAAAGCAAUCGAGUGUCGGUUCGCACAACGAGCCGGCACUGCUACGAGGUGCAGACUGCGCGCGUCUUUCGCGAGACGUGCUCUGCUGUUUCGCAGUAGCAAUGCGGUGCGUACGCGCCGUAUUCGAGCGUACACGAUAGUACCCGAAAGAUGGUGAAUUAUGCUUGAGCAGGGUGAAGCCAAAGGAAACUUUGGUGGAAGCCUGUAGCAGUUUUGACGUGCAAAUCGAUUGUCAGACUCGAGUAUAGCGGCGAAAGACUAAUCGAACCAUCUAGUAGCUGGUUUCCUUCGAAAUUUCCCGCAGGAUAGCAAGCGCGCUACAGAUCAUUUAAACCUGUUACAGUCUCAACAGAAGGUAACGGGGCGUUAAUUGACCUUGUCCUUUUCCUAAACUUGGUCAAUGGGUUGCCUAUGUGCACAUACACUACACGCUUGUCGCAUGUAGACGUGAACCUAGCUGGCGAAUGAUUUGCGCUUAGUGGGCCAUUUUUGGUAAGCAGAACUGGCGAUGUGGGAUGAACCGUACACAGAGUUAAAGUGCCUAAUGUUUAUACGCUAAGAAGAUCCCAUUAAAGAUGUUGUUCGCUUAAGACAGUAGGGCGGUGGCCAUGGAAGUCGGCAUCCGCUAAGGAGUGUGUAACAACUCACCUACCGAAGCGUUCAACUCUGAAAAUGGAUGGCGCUAAAGCGUUAUACUGAAACUCUGUCGUAGGUAGUAAAUCCUGUUCAAGGGUGUCCGCGCGUUGGUCGGGCGGUUUGACCGUUCGGCCUUCCGCGAGCACAUCAGACUCCUACGAGUAGGAGGAAUGCGGUGAUGGCGUAGAAGCUUUGGACGUAAGUCCGGGUGGAGCCGUUGCUGAURCAGAUCUUGGUGGUAGUAGCAAACAAACAAGUGACAACCUUGUUGACCGACGUGGAUACGGGUUCCAUGUGAACAGUAUUUGGUCAUGGGUUAGUCGAUCCUGAGGGGCGCGGCGAAAGCCGUAUCGUAAGAAGCGUUCCUAGUCGAACGCGCCUCGAAAGGGAAUGAGGUUAAUAUUCCUCAACCUUGCAUGUGGGGACUCUUUUACGAGAGCGUAGCGGCAACGCGAUCGAACUCAGAGACGUCAGCCGAAGUCCUGGGCAGAGAUUUCUUCUCUGCCGUAAGGUGUGCCGAGUGCCUUGAAACAGUUUAGCUGGAGACAGGCAUGCACGCACCGAAUUGCGUCGCGCUUCAUGUGACGUGUCAGUGUACUUUGGUUGGCCCUUGAAAAUCUGAGCGAGUGACCUGUCUAGACCACUGCAAGAUCGUACCUAGAUCCGCAACCGGUAUCCUAGGUGAACAGCCUCUGGUCUAUUAGAAUAAUGUAAGUAAGGGAAGUCGGCAAAACUGAUCUGUAUCUUUGGUACAAAGAUUGGCUCUGGCGUGUUUGCUAGCUGCGUCGUGCGUAGUAAGCGUGAGCCGUGCCGGCCGAGUACUGGAGGGCAGUUGGCGUUCGCGCGUCGACAUACCCAUCGGGAUUUGGCCGCCGCUUGCGUUGAACGGUGCGAGUACGGCUAGCAAAUAAAACAAAUAGUCAGAACUAUCAUUGACUUUUCGGAAUCUGACUGUUUAAUUAAAACAUAGCAUCGAGAUGACUGGUGACCCAGUGUUGACUCGAUGUGAAUUCUGCCCAGUGCUCUGAAUGUCAACGUGUAGAGAUUCAAUGAAGCGCGGGUAAACGGCGGGAGUAACUAUGACUCUCUUAAGGUAGCCAAAUGCCUCGUCAUCUAAUUAGUGACGUGCAUGAAUGGAUUAACGAGAUUCCAUCUGUCCCUACUUACUAUCUAGCGAAACCACAGCCAAGGGAACGGGCUUGGCGAGAUCAGCGGGGAAAGAAGACCCUGUUGAGCUUGACUCUAGUCUGGCAUUGUGAGGAAACUGUAUUUGGUAUAGCAUAGGUGGGAGGUAGUCUUCGGGCUAUCGGUAUAAACUGUAAAACCACCACAAUACAGCACCACUCACUGACUUAGUUAGGAGGCUUACCUUGUGGCGCGCGCUUGCGUGUUGCUGCAAGGGAAUCUUCGUGAAUAGCGCACUAAGUCGAGAUGAGCAAGUGCGGACUYGUCGUGUCGGCGUGCAUUYGUGUGCGUGUCUGUGCGGCGGUCGGCUUGCAACAAGCAUCACGUCGAGGCAUUAUCUAAGGACAGUGCCAGGCGGGGAGUUUGACUGGGGCGGUACAUCUAUCAAAUGCUAACGUAGGUGUCCUAAUGUUAGCUCAGUGAGACCAGAAAUCUCACGUAGAAUAUAAGGGUACAAGCUGGCUUGAUUCUGAAUAACAGUACGAUUGCGAGACAAGAAAUUGUGGCCUAACGAUCCUUUUGAGAAGCGAAACACUAUCAAUGCAUAAUACAAGAGGUGUCAGAAAAGUUACCACAGGGAUAACUGGCUUGUGGCGGCCAAGCGUUCAUAGCGACGCCGCUUUUUGAUCC